CUCCCACAGAUGCCGGUCCAGGUCUUCCUCCCCCAGGCGCCCGUCCAGGUCUCCCUCUCCCAGGCGCCCGUCCAAGUCUGGCUACGCCAGAUAUGAUGUUAAAACCUGGACGUUCCCCUUGCCUCAGGAGGUAUUUCAGAAAAAGGUUUUAACACUGCUCCUUGAGAUUCGGGACAAGGCUUCUCCACAAGCGUCACACGUCGGUCACAUCGUCAGGAUGGAGACCAUGGAGCA
Long non-coding RNA from Cololabis saira (Pacific saury), 234 nucleotides. RefSeq lists it as uncharacterized. NCBI's taxonomy places the organism in Eukaryota, Metazoa, Chordata, Actinopteri, Beloniformes, Belonidae. The transcript has 3 exons. The record is from RefSeq and is a predicted model, not a curated record.